Salvia splendens (bonfire salvia) is the source of this 1214-nucleotide RNA transcript. RefSeq lists it as uncharacterized. The record is from RefSeq and is a predicted model, not a curated record. The transcript is spliced from 3 exons. Lineage: Eukaryota; Viridiplantae; Streptophyta; Magnoliopsida; Lamiales; Lamiaceae.
CAGAUUUCUGACCCUCAACAAGUAAAUGUAUCCGAAGGUGAAGGUGCGGCAAGAGACUGAAGAAGAAGCUGAUCAUUAUGAUUACGGUUUAACUUCUCUGCGCUCCUUGAAUGGCUCUCUUUCGAUCACUAUUCUUCUUUUUAUCUGCAUCUCUUGUUCGCCUUUCACCACUUGAUUUUGCUUUCCAUUUCUUAAUCUUUCGUCAGUAUUUCAGAAAACAUAAAGAGUCGUUCUUGGAAUUCUUAGAAAUUUGUGAUCCCAUGAUCGAGCUUUGCAAAUUAGUCUCAACAAUUAUGUUUUACUUCCCUCCAUCCUUGAAAAAUAUAAACUUUUUAAAACGGCACAUAUUUUAACGCACAAUUGAUAUAAUGAGAGAGAAGAAUUGGUAAAAGUAAGAAAGAGAACGUAACAUUAGUCAAUUGUGGGGUCCACUUUCUAAAAUAGAAAGUUUAGAAAGUUUAGAAAGUUUCUAUUUUUAAGGACAGACAAAAAUGAAAAUAGUUUCUAUUUUAAGGGAUGAGGUAGUAAGAUUAAAUUUUACUUUCUCCGUCCACCAUUUUAAGAGAGUGAAAUGAGUAUUGGUUUUAUAAUGGAUUGUGAGUAUAUAAAAAGUUAGUGGAAUCUAGAGUCUACAUAUUUAAAGUGGAAUAAAGUAAAUAGUUUUAAAAAUAAUGGACAGCCCAAAUUGGUAAAGUGGCUCUUUAAAGAUACUUAAAGUGGAAUAAAGUAAAUAGUUUUAUAAAUAAUGGACCGCUCAAAUUGGUAAAGUGGCUCUGUAAAGAGGGAAGAUUAAAUUUUUAUAUUUGUGCAAGUGUUUAUAUAUGAAACUUUCUGAGCAUCACAACUUGAUUAGAGAUGUCCCUUUUCAUGUUGUGUAAAUGAUUCUCCGGUAUCAUUUGUAAGGGUUCCUGGUUCCGAUUUCCCCAAAUCACCAUCUCCCGGCUUUCAGGCAUCCAAGGGUUCGAUAUUUACCAACUUCCUUUUCGAUUUACUGAAUGUAAUCUAACACAUAUUCCUUCCUCUCAACCAGAAACUAACAAAGCACCCAUCAGCGGGAGCAACAAAACCAAACGACCUACUUCAGCUCCACGUCGUCUAUGUCGUGCAGUCUUAUCAAGUCCAGACAGAAAUGGAGUGAUCAGUAGAAGCAAAACACAAACAAGGAGAGAACUACUCUCACCUUUAAACAGCCAUACUUCAUGCCUGGACAGACA